RNAcentral lists this ribosomal RNA (497 nucleotides) under uncultured bacterium. Its description in RNAcentral is "partial 16S ribosomal RNA". It matches the Rfam family "Bacterial small subunit ribosomal RNA", at positions 28 to 507 of the family's 1533-position model. The record is from RNAcentral.
GAUGAACGCUGGCGGCGUGCCUAAUACAUGCAAGUCGAGCGGACGGACGAGAAGCUUGCUUCUCUGAUGUUAGCGGCGGACGGGUGAGUAACACGUGGAUAACCUACCUAUAAGACUGGGAUAACUUCGGGAAACCGGAGCUAAUACCGGAUAAUAUUUUGAACCGCAUGGUUCAAAAGUGAAAGACGGUCUUGCUGUCACUUAUAGAUGGAUCCGCGCUGCAUUAGCUAGUUGGUAAGGUAACGGCUUACCAAGGCAACGAUGCAUAGCCGACCUGAGAGGGUGAUCGGCCACACUGGAACUGAGACACGGUCCAGACUCCUACGGGAGGCAGCAGUAGGGAAUCUUCCGCAAUGGGCGAAAGCCUGACGGAGCACCGCCGCGUGAGUGAUGAAGGUCUUCGGAUCGUAAAACUCUGUUAUUAGGGAAGAACAUAUGUGUAAGUAACUGUGCACAUCUUGACGGUACCUAAUCAGAAAGCCACGGCUAACUACGUG